RNAcentral lists this unclassified non-coding RNA (472 nucleotides) under Crucibulum laeve. RNAcentral's name for it is "sequence contains ITS1, 5.8S rRNA gene, ITS2". The stretch from base 241 to 394 matches the Rfam family "5.8S ribosomal RNA". Lineage: Eukaryota; Fungi; Basidiomycota; Agaricomycetes; Agaricales; Nidulariaceae. The record is from RNAcentral.
AUGAAUAAACCUGGUUUGCUGUUGCUGGCUCUUCGGAGUAAUGUGCACGCUUAUCAUCUUUAUAUUUCCACCUGUGCACCUUUUGUAGACUUGGAUUAUCUCUCGAGGUAACUCGGAUGUGGGUUUGCAGUUGUGAAAACUCUGCUCUCCUUGUAUUAUCCAGUCUAUGUUAAUUAUAUACACCAUUAGUAUGUUUAUAGAAUGUCGUUAUUAGGAUUUCAAAUCCUUUUAAUCAAAUACAACUUUCAGCAACGGAUCUCUUGGCUCUCGCAUCGAUGAAGAACGCAGCGAAAUGCGAUAAGUAAUGUGAAUUGCAGAAUUCAGUGAAUCAUCGAAUCUUUGAACGCACCUUGCGCUCCUUGGUAUUCCGAGGAGCAUGCCUGUUUGAGUGUCAUUAAAUUAUCAACCACUUCUACUUUUAUUAGUUGAAGCUGGCUUGGAUGUGGGGGUUGCCGGCUUUUCUAAUAUAAAA